UCUGUUCCCUCUUGAGUAUGAACUUGUCAGGUAUCAACUCAGUCAUUUCUGUCUCUCUCUAGAGGGAACACCCUGAAAAACAUAGAGAAGGAGUGCAAUGCCAAGAUUAUGAUCCGGGGGAAAGGGUCUGUGAAAGAAGGGAAGGUUGGGCGCAAAGAUGGCCAGAUGUUGCCAGGAGAAGAUGAGCCACUUCAUGCCCUGGUCACUGCCAAUACAAUGGAGAACGUCAAAAAGGCAGUGGAACAGAUAAGAAACAUCCUGAAGCAGGGUAUCGAGACCCCAGAGGACCAGAAUGAUCUACGGAAGAUGCAGCUUCGGGAGUUGGCUCGCUUGAAUGGGACCCUUCGGGAAGACGACAACAGGAUCUUAAGACCCUGGCAGAGCUCAGAGACCCGCAGCAUUACCAACACCACAGUGUGUACCAAGUGUGGAGGGGCUGGCCACAUUGCUUCAGACUGUAAAUUCCAAAGGCCUGGUGAUCCUCAGUCAGCUCAGGAUAAAGCUCGGAUGGAUAAAGAAUAUUUGUCCCUCAUGGCUGAACUGGGUGAAGCACCUGUCCCAGCAUCUGUGGGCUCCACCUCUGGGC
Molecule: small RNA, 586 nt
Filed under: Pongo abelii (Sumatran orangutan)
Lineage: Eukaryota; Metazoa; Chordata; Mammalia; Primates; Hominidae
Description: processed transcript
Source: RNAcentral